CCUGCCUUUCAGAGGGGGAUAACGUUCUGAAAAGAACGCUAAUACCGCAUGAGACUACAGAGCUGCAUGGCUCAGUGGUCAAAGGAGCAAUCCGCUGAAAGAUGGACUCGCGUCCGAUUAGAUAGUAGGCGGGGUAACGGCCCACCUAGUCGACGAUCGGUAGCCGGACUGAGAGGUUGAACGGCCACAUUGGGACUGAGACACGGCCCAGACUCCUACGGGAGGCAGCAUG
This 232-nucleotide ribosomal RNA is filed under the name uncultured bacterium. Its description in RNAcentral is "partial 16S ribosomal RNA". It matches the Rfam family "Bacterial small subunit ribosomal RNA", at positions 125 to 353 of the family's 1533-position model. The record is from RNAcentral.